CGCGCCGACCCGCUCAAUCGUGAUCACACGAACCGGGGAACCACUGCACCACUUGGGGUGAAUCCGUGAGCCACGGCUCGCGGUAGGGCGAUCUUCCCGCCCGAAUCCGUCAGCUAACCCGGUCGGCGGUGUCGGAAGGAGUU
Molecule: small RNA, 143 nt
Filed under: Micromonospora maris AB-18-032
Lineage: Bacteria; Bacillati; Actinomycetota; Actinomycetes; Micromonosporales; Micromonosporaceae
Also listed under: 1 other name
Description: Verrucosispora maris AB-18-032 c-di-AMP riboswitch aptamer (ydaO/yuaA leader)
Rfam family: c-di-AMP riboswitch aptamer (ydaO/yuaA leader)
About the family: This family represents a conserved RNA structure found upstream of the ydaO and yuaA genes in Bacillus subtilis and related genes in other bacteria.
Source: Rfam by way of RNAcentral